RNAcentral lists this ribosomal RNA (218 nucleotides) under uncultured Veillonellaceae bacterium. Its description in RNAcentral is "partial 16S ribosomal RNA". It matches the Rfam family "Bacterial small subunit ribosomal RNA", at positions 132 to 334 of the family's 1533-position model. Lineage: Bacteria; Bacillati; Bacillota; Negativicutes; Veillonellales; Veillonellaceae. The record is from RNAcentral.
UUCAGAGGGGGACAACAGUUGGAAACGACUGCUAAUACCGCAUACGAUCUAAUCUCGGCAUCGAGGAUGGAUGAAAGGUGGCCUCUAUUUAUAAGCUAUCACUGAAGGAGGGGAUUGCGUCUGAUUAGCUAGUUGGAGGGGUAACGGCCCACCAAGGCAAUGAUCAGUAGCCGGUCUGAGAGGAUGAACGGCCACAUUGGGACUGAGACACGGCCCAG